CGGCCUAUCAGGUAGUAGGUGGGGUAACGGCCCACCUAGCCUACGACGGGUACGGGCCCUGAGAGGGGGAGCCCGGAGAUGGGCACUGAGACAAGGGUCUAGGCCCUAAGGGGCGCAGCAGGCGCGAAGAUUCCGCAAUGCCCGAAAGGGCGACGGAGUGAACCCGAGUGCCACCCGCUGAGGGUGGCUGUUCCCCUGUGUAAAAAGCAGGGGGCAGGAAGGGGAGGGCAAGGCUGGUGGCAGCCGCCGCGGUAAAACCAGCUCCCCGAGGGGUUCCCACGCAUACUGGGCCUAAAGCGUCCGUAGCCGGCCCUGUAAGUCCGCAGUUAAAUCCGCCUGUAGACAGGCGGGCUGCUGCGGAUACUACAGGGCUAGGGAGCGGGAGGAGCCGGGGGUAUUCCCGGGGGAGCGGUAAAAUGCGUAGAUCCCGGGAGGACCACCAGUGGCGAAGGCGCCCGGCUUGAACGCGUCCGACGGUGAGGGACGAAAGCUGGGGGAGCAAACCGGAUUAGAUACCCGGGUAGUCCCAGCCGUAAACGAUGCCGGCUAGGUGCUGGCCAAGGUUUCGACCUUGGCCAGUGUCGAAGCGAAGGCAUUAAGCCGGCCGCCUGAGGAGUACGGCCGCAAGGCUGAAACUUGAAGGAAUUGACGGGGGGGCACCACAAGGGGUGAAUGCCUGCGGCUUAAUUGGACUCAACGCCGGGAAUCUUACCGGGGGCGACAGCAGGAUGAAGGUCAGGCUGAAGACCUUACCAGACGCGCUGAGGGGUGGUGCAUGGCCGUCGCCAGCUCGUGCCGUGAGGUGUCCUGUUAAGUCAGGCAACGAGCGAGACCCCCGCCCCUAGUUGCCAGCGGCCUCCUUCGGGAGGGACCGGGCAAACUAGGGGGACCGCCUCCGAAGAGGAGGAGGAAGGUGGGGGCUACGGCAGGUCAGUAUGCCCCUAAUCCCCCGGGCCGCACGCGGGCU
RNAcentral lists this ribosomal RNA (967 nucleotides) under uncultured korarchaeote. RNAcentral's name for it is "bacterial SSU rRNA". It matches the Rfam family "Archaeal small subunit ribosomal RNA", at positions 218 to 1182 of the family's 1478-position model. Lineage: Archaea; Thermoproteati; Thermoproteota. The record is from RNAcentral.